UACGUAGGUGGCGAGCGUUAUCCGGAAUGAUUGGGCGUAAAGGGUGCGCAGGCGGUCUGUUAAGUCAGCGGUCAAAGCCCGGGGCUCAACCCCGGCCCGCCGUUGAAACUGGCAGUCUCGAGUUGGAGAGAAGUAUGCGGAAUGCGCGGUGUAGCGGUGAAAUGCAUAGAUAUCGCGCAGAACUCCGAUUGCGAAGGCAGCUUGCUAGGCCGGAUCUGACACUGAUGCACGAAAGCGUGGGUAUCGAACAGG
RNAcentral lists this ribosomal RNA (252 nucleotides) under uncultured Bacteroidales bacterium. Its description in RNAcentral is "partial 16S ribosomal RNA". It matches the Rfam family "Bacterial small subunit ribosomal RNA", at positions 524 to 776 of the family's 1533-position model. Lineage: Bacteria; Pseudomonadati; Bacteroidota; Bacteroidia; Bacteroidales. The record is from RNAcentral.